UUAAAACUGUAGACAAAUUAACAUUGGAAUAAAUUGCAUAACAUUACUAGUGGAUCUGCAUAAGAUCUGCAACAUUUAUUGAAACCUUUAUUUAUUGACAAAUACCUCCGUGUUUAACAGCUGUCUUCUCAUGGGUUUGCAUAUGUGCCACAACAUAUGUAUACACUUGCUACAGAACUCACAUUUGUAGUUUGGGCCUUCAUAAAUUGGAUUUUGCAAUAUUCCUUCCCUAAAAACUGUUGGAAGCAAAUUAAUUAAGAAUUUUAUUAUUUACACACAUCAACAUUUAAUCAAAAACACUUUACAACACUUUCCAAAAGAGUCAUGUUCUCUAAAGGUGUAUUACACCCACAUCAUUUCAGUAAGCUCAUUAAGUUCUCUAUUCAGGCUGAAGUUGAAGAGUAAAACGGAGAAAAAUUAAUUCAAUUUAUAUUAAUUUAAAUAAAGAUGCAUUUUCACAUUUGUCUGGAUUAAUGUGGAAAUGGCCUAAAUUAACACGUCCAACAACGCAAACAUUUUCAUUAUUUAUGUGUGGGAUAUGUGGGGAAAAAGAAUAAUGUUACAAAUUGCACGUUACAGAUAGGGCUCCCAAAUUAUCCUAUUGUUAAUUAACCUUAACGUUAAUUAAUACGCCAUAUUGUAAACCUCAGUUCAGCCAGCCACUUAUAUUAUUUCAUCAGCUAACGCUAAACUAAUUUAUUCUACAUUUCAGUUCGACAUAUAUAAGUAAGCAAAGUUAUUACCCCGCCAGAACGUAAAAAUAUUGCUUACUUAACAAUGCUAAGAGAGGAAGUUUAAGUUUUAAUAGAUUAUCAACUCCAGUAAACAAUACCAAUAUGUCUUACUACUGUAUGAAAAUGAUUUUUACACUUCAAUUUAAACAGUUAUCUCUGGAAAAUAUACGUACCGUUGUCUCUAUGAGUAGCAUCUGUCUGCACAACCGGAGGCUGCAUUUUCAGGACCGCAGUUCUAGUACCGCAUUUCUAGGACCUUAGAUGUUUAGUGACAACGCCACCUACCGAAUUACAGGACCAGUGACCACAUGCUUUUCGGAAGAGAUGGACGACAUUCAGAGUUGAGUAUCAAAUAAACACACAAUCCAAGAAGGAAGAUCCUUUCCUGGACUUAAGAGAUGCACCACAUGCUGCAAGGAGUUCCUCUGCCCGUUCUGCAGUUCUGCUUUGUUUCACCCAACAAAGUGGAGCAAAGUGAAAUCCCAUUUGGAGAGCCAUUUCAAACGCAGUUCUCCAUGAAGACCAUCAUAUAUGGCCUGGCUGGGCUGCAGAAUUUCUCUGUGGGAUGUUGAGAAGGCCUUCUUCUCUGGUCCGGAUUAUCAUCACAGGCAGAGCCGUUGAAAAACAGAGUUGCGACACUCCCAUAGACCUCCAUAGGAACUUUGGAAUGCGGAAGUAACGCGUGUCGUGGAGCAGCCGAUAGUUCCAAACACUGAUAGUUCCAGCACUGAACCCCAUUCAUUUUCAGUGACUCUGAAGUUCGCUCGCUGGUCUGUCCAGCAGCAACAGGCUUGACUCAACUCCAGACCCGGCCUCCUCUGGGCUCUGACACAGGCUGUUUCCACCUGAAGUUAACAUGCAUUUUGGUCGAUCGGAUCAUAAGUGGACGACGGAGACACAUACAUGUUUACACCUGGUGUUUUAAUCCAUCUGUUUUGUCCUCUUUCAACCACUUCUGUCCUGAUUUCUUUGAGGGGGUGGGUAAAUGUAUGGGUUUUUACAGAUCUUUCAAUCUAAUGGACAAAAUAAGCUUAAGCAGUUUACAUAUGAACGCACCCAGAGAUGACAGGAAAACAUAUUGAGAGCAUCAGUGUUCGCUUCUGCUCUGACAGCCGUGAGACCAGCCGAACGCUGUGAGUGUGUGUUAGAAAUCAGGAAUGGUGAGAGAACAUUGUGCUUGGUACGUUUUUCAUCUUUGAACCAAACUUUGGUCUUCAGCCAACAAAGUUUAAAUCCUGUCUGGCUCGAGUGCUUCCCAUAAUGUUUACACAUUAGGUCAGUAGAUGGAGAGUAGAGUAAACAUGAGCGUUUACACUACGAAAGCAGUCCGGUCGAAUGCAUUUGAGUCUGCUUCUGGAAGUGGUUGAAAGUGGAUAAACUUAAACCGUUUUAGACCCUGUUUACACCUGUAUUUAAUGUUGUCCACUUGUGAUCCGAUCAGCCAAAACGCAUCUUAAUACCAGGUGGAAACAGGCCCACAGUCUGCUUCUGGCAGUGGAAUGCUCUCACCCAAAAAUUCAACAGGUCUCCAGAUCAUCCUACAGCUGCGCUGGAAGAAUGUAAUGGAUAUUGUGAACACUUAUAUUCCUUUUCUGGCCUGCUUUCUGCCAUCUUUCUCUCCCUGUAGGAAGUCAAAUGAGUUUCUUUGAAGACAGAACAUUCAAGGAAAAUUUACCUACCCUCUCCCUGGAUAUAAUAUAUAAUUAAAUGUUUUGUUGAA
Ctenopharyngodon idella (grass carp) is the source of this 2454-nucleotide long non-coding RNA. RefSeq lists it as uncharacterized. The record is from RefSeq and is a predicted model, not a curated record. The transcript is spliced from 5 exons. NCBI's taxonomy places the organism in Eukaryota, Metazoa, Chordata, Actinopteri, Cypriniformes, Xenocyprididae.